This 392-nucleotide transfer-messenger RNA is filed under the name pig gut metagenome. It matches the Rfam family "transfer-messenger RNA". Rfam says of the family: Bacterial tmRNA, also known as 10Sa RNA or SsrA, is named for its dual tRNA and mRNA-like properties. Its role is to liberate the mRNA from a stalled ribosome. The record is from RNAcentral.
GGGGAUGUAAUGGUUUUGACGCCGUGAUUGGUAGGUAUUAGUUGCAAGUCCGAGAGCUGUUCUCGGUUAUCAACGAGCAAAUAAAUUAAACGCUAAUAACGUUGUUUAUGCUGACUUUGGUGCUAAAAGAGCACUUGCUGCCUAAUUUGUAGCAAUCAGCCCUUUAGUUUGACCAUCUUGCCGUUGAACUAAAUGAAAUUAUGCAAGAUGCACUAAGCAAAUAACAGUAUGCUUAGCUAAGAAUUACUGUUAAAGUUUAGACUUACUUAAAAAGUCUAUACUCUAAAUAAGGUUAAGCAUCUUUCCAUGUUAGAGUGAAACAAUAAGGUACUAAACUUGUAGAUAUUAAUAUUUAUCCACGAUGGACGUGGGUUCGACUCCCACCAUCUCCA